AUGUCUUCCUCCUCCGGCGUCUCUCCCCCUAGCCUCAAUGGACAGGUCAUUGAGAAACUCUCCCGCACGAACUACGUGCUAUGGCGCGCACAGAUCACUCCACAGCUGCGUGGUGCCGGUGUCUUCAGUUAUGUCGAUGGCACCUCGCCGGAGCCAACCAAGCUCCUCGCCGCCAAGGACAAGGACGGCAAGGAGACCUUCGAGCCCAACCCUCUCAACCCCAUCUGGGUCCGGGAGGACCAGCAGGUGCUCGGCUACCUGCUGAGCAACCUCUCCAAGGCGGCGCUCAUCAAGGUGACCACGGUCACCACGGUGCAGGCGCUCUGGACGACGCUGGCAGGCAUGUACUCGUCGCAGUCGCUGAGCCGUGUCAACAACAUCCGUACCUCGCUCAUCAAUGUGCAGAAGGGCAAACAGUCCGCCGCCGCCUACUUCGCCUCCAUGCGCGGUCUCGCGGACGAGCUGGCCGCGGCGGGCAAACCUAUCCAGGAUGACGAACUCAUCUCGUACGUCCUCCACGGGCUGGAUCUGGAGUACCAGCCCCUCGUCUCCGCCCUCGACGCCCGUGUCGGCCCCGCCUUCCUCGACGAAAUCUUGUCCAUGCUUAGCAACUUUGACCAGCACAUGGCG
RNAcentral lists this ribosomal RNA (630 nucleotides) under Triticum aestivum (bread wheat). RNAcentral describes it as "partial small subunit ribosomal RNA". Lineage: Eukaryota; Viridiplantae; Streptophyta; Magnoliopsida; Poales; Poaceae. The record is from RNAcentral.